GCCUGGGUGGCUUAGUCAGUUAAGCAACUGACUUCAGCUCAGGUCAUGAUCUCACAAUCUGUGGGUUCAAGCCCCGUGUCAGGCU
Molecule: transfer RNA, 85 nt
Organism: Felis catus (domestic cat)
Lineage: Eukaryota; Metazoa; Chordata; Mammalia; Carnivora; Felidae
Rfam family: tRNA
About the family: Transfer RNA (tRNA) molecules are approximately 80 nucleotides in length. Their secondary structure includes four short double-helical elements and three loops (D, anti-codon, and T loops). Further hydrogen bonds mediate the characteristic L-shaped molecular structure. tRNAs have two regions of fundamental functional importance: the anti-codon, which is responsible for specific mRNA codon recognition, and the 3' end, to which the tRNAs corresponding amino acid is attached (by aminoacyl-tRNA synthetases). tRNAs cope with the degeneracy of the genetic code in two manners: having more than one tRNA (with a specific anti-codon) for a particular amino acid; and 'wobble' base-pairing, i.e. permitting non-standard base-pairing at the 3rd anti-codon position.
Source: Rfam